CCCUUAGAUGUUCGGGGCCGCACGCGCGCUACACUGAAGGACUCAGCGUGUCUCUCCCCCUAUCCCGAAAGGGAUGGGCAACCCGUUGAACCUCCUUCGUGCUAGGGAUUGGGGUUUGCAAUUAUCCCCCAUGAACGAGGAAUUCCCAGUAAGCGCGAGUCAUCAGCUCGCGUUGAUUACGUCCCUGCCCUUUGUACACACCGCCCGUCGCUACUACCGAUUGGAUGGUUUAGUGAGACCCUCGGAUCGGUCCCGACUCGGGGUGGGCUUCUGCCCCGGUCGUGGUUUCGCCGAGAAGACGGCCAAACUUGACUAUCUAGAGGAAGUAAAAGUCGUAACA
Molecule: ribosomal RNA, 340 nt
Filed under: uncultured eukaryote
Lineage: Eukaryota
Description: partial 18S ribosomal RNA
Rfam family: Eukaryotic small subunit ribosomal RNA
Source: RNAcentral